GGAAUGGGAUAGGGAGCAAGAAUUGGGAGGGUUGUGGCUUGGAGGGAAGUUAUGGGGGGAAAAGCCAUUGCAAUACAUAAGCUGUACUUUGGAAAUUUAUAUUUGCUAAAUAAAAGUUAAAAAAUACUUUUUCGGUAUUAUUAAGCCAUAAUGGCUGUACUGGCACUAUAACACCAAUUUUACCAAAUUUUUUCAAGAUUACAUUUAAUUAAGAUGUCACAAUGAUGUGUUACUAAUAGAACAAUGUAUUUUCUUUCAGAUCAUUUCAGCAAUUCCUUCAGCAAAGGAUAAGAUGAAAUGAUCUGGGUAAACUGCUUAUUAGAGGCCUCGAACCAGGGCUGUGAUGGAGAGUUUUCAGUGGAAAUUCUACAGAAAGAAGGGAGUCUCUAUGAAGUAGUGUGGGCACUACAAACAUGGAGCAGUGAGCAGUGACACCACCGCCAACUUCCACAAGUUAGAGGCUGGAGGAGAAGCCAUCUUCUUGGGACAAGGUGAGAAAAGUCUGUGCCAACCCAUGUCACUGGUGAUAUUGCCUGAUUGAGAACUUUGUGGACACACUGACUUGGGUUUGGGUUUGUAAUUCUUGUGGAGAGUAUAUAAGUUCCCACCUUAUCCCAUUAAAGGAGAGCAUACUGCCCUCUUCUCAUUUCAG
Molecule: non-coding RNA, 652 nt
Organism: Oryctolagus cuniculus (rabbit)
Lineage: Eukaryota; Metazoa; Chordata; Mammalia; Lagomorpha; Leporidae
Source: RefSeq, a predicted model, not a curated record